This 498-nucleotide ribosomal RNA is filed under the name uncultured bacterium. RNAcentral's name for it is "partial 16S ribosomal RNA". It matches the Rfam family "Bacterial small subunit ribosomal RNA", at positions 28 to 507 of the family's 1533-position model. The record is from RNAcentral.
GACGAACGCUGGCGGCGUGCCUAAUACAUGCCAGUCGAGCGGACGAAUCGAAAGCUUGCUUUUGAUUCGUUAGCGGCGGACGGGUGAGUAACACGUGGGCAACCUGCCCUGUAGACGGGGAUAACACCGAGAAAUCGGUGCUAAUACCGGAUAACACGAAAUGUCGCAUGACGUUUCGUUGAAAGACGGCGCAAGCUGUCGCUACAGGAUGGGCCCGCGGCGCAUUAGCUAGUUGGUGAGGUAACGGCUCACCAAGGCGACGAUGCGUAGCCGACCUGAGAGGGUGAUCGGCCACACUGGGACUGAGACACGGCCCAGACUCCUACGGGAGGCAGCAGUAGGGAAUCUCCCGCAAUGGACGAAAGUCUGACGGAGCAACGCCGCGUGAGCGAAGAAGGCCUUCGGGUCGUAAAGCUCUGUUGUUAGGGAAGAACAAGUAACGCAGUAACUGGCGUUACCGUGACGGUACCUAACGAGAAAGCCACGGCUAACUACGUG